CCUACGGGUGGCAGCAGUGAGGAAUAUUGCACAAUGGGGGAAACCCUGAUGCAGCAACGCCGCGUGAGUGAAGAAGUAUUUCGGUAUGUAAAGCUCUAUCAGCAGGGAAGAAAAUGACAGUACCUGACUAAGAAGCCACGGCUAACUACAUGCCAGCAGCCGCGGUAAUACGUAGGGGGCAGGGGUUAUCCGGAUUUACUGGGUGUAAAGGGAGUGUAGACGGGUGGGCAAGUCAGAAGUGAAAGCCCGGGGCUCAACCGCGGGAGUGCCUUUGAAACUGUGUAGCUUGAGUGCAGGAGAGGUAAGCGGAAUGCGUGGUGUAGCGGUGAAAUGCGUAGAUAUCACGAGGAACACCGGUUGCGAAGGCAGCUUACUGGACUGUAACUGACGUUGAGGCUCGAAAGCGUGGGGAGCAAACAGGAUUAGAUACCCUAGUAGUC
RNAcentral lists this ribosomal RNA (440 nucleotides) under uncultured bacterium. RNAcentral's name for it is "partial 16S ribosomal RNA". It matches the Rfam family "Bacterial small subunit ribosomal RNA", at positions 338 to 795 of the family's 1533-position model. The record is from RNAcentral.